GCCAGCAUGGCAUAGUGGUUUUAGUGUUGGACUAUGACUCUGCAGACCAGGGUUCAAUUCCCUGUGCAGUCA
Molecule: non-coding RNA, 72 nt
Organism: Phrynosoma platyrhinos (Desert horned lizard)
Lineage: Eukaryota; Metazoa; Chordata; Lepidosauria; Squamata; Phrynosomatidae
Source: the annotation of a GenBank genome assembly